This is a long non-coding RNA of Actinia tenebrosa (Australian red waratah sea anemone), 559 nucleotides long. RefSeq lists it as uncharacterized. Lineage: Eukaryota; Metazoa; Cnidaria; Anthozoa; Actiniaria; Actiniidae. The record is from RefSeq and is a predicted model, not a curated record.
AUUGGAAACAUGUUUCCUUCCAUGGAUAACCUUUAUCCAACAAACCAGUCGCACCCAUGCAUUAACAUCGCUUACAAUUGGCUACAAGGCGAAAAUGCUAGUUGUCAAUCCAAGACUUAAAGAACACUAAACCGAGUCUUAUGUAUUUUACUUAAGGAUUCAUAUGAUGAAAAAUAAAUAAAAAAAGGAAACAAAAAUCCAUGGCAAACGAUGGGAUCCGGACCCACGUCUAUAAAGAAAAACAACUGGGCAAAAAAAUUUGGUUCCACCGUAUUAUAUACUUGAGACAUCCGAAGAAACUGAGGUGCCGUAUGGAUUUUGGUUCUAAUGGCAACAUUUUAUGGCCGAUUCGCCCUUAGUGAAAUGAUUGGGCGGGAAACUGUUUUAGCCCAAAGGCAUUAGGGGAUAAACCAGCCGGUCCCAUGGUCAAACCGCUAUUGUUAUGACACAUUCAGGCCUGGUCCAGUUUGGAUAAAAAGCGGGUUCUUAAGAAUGGAUGGAUGACCUUGGGAGACUACGUACUACAAGUGAAUGAAACAUGACUUCUUUCAUUCAUUCA